UUACAACCCAAAAAUAAAUAAUAAAUAAGGUAAACUAAAGAAAACCAAUCACUUAUUUCAAAAGCCCAAAAGCUAUCACCAUGGCCACUCUGAAUCCCCUCCGGCUCCAAGCCCCCACAUUAAGGUUCACCUAUAAGGUUUAGAAACGGGGUGAGUUUAUGAAAACUCAGUGUGUAAUCCCAAUAACAAACAAACAGUGAAUAACACGGUAUUAGUACAAUCUGGGCCAAAGCCCUAUUCAUUCUCGACACAUACUGGGCCGAAUCCUUUCGUUUAACGGUUACUGGGCUGAAGCCUUUUCAUAAAUCAUAUCACUGGGCCGAAGCCUUUACUGUAAACGAUAUGGCCCAUAGGCCCAUUUCACUAUCACAUGAAAUACCAAUGAAUGUAUGCAAGCCCAUUUGGGGAGACUACUCAACCCACCAUCCGCUACUCUCCACCCAUAAAAACCAAGCUCUCCAUGUGGGGAAUAACUCAACCCACCCAACCAAACUCUCCACUGGCAGCAUAGCUGCUUUAUCAUAUAACUGGAGGCCUAGCCUCUUUUAAUAACUAGGGCAAAGCCCUUUUUGAUAAACUGGGGCAAAGCAAUUUUCGGUAAAUUGGGGCAAAGCCCUUUUCGGUAAACCGAGGCAUAGCCCUUUUAGCACUUCCUCCAUUUAUAAAACCCAACCCAUGCAACAUGUCAUGUAUGCAGAAUGUCAUGCCCAUAUUUGAAUCAAACAAUCACAGUCAAGUCAUUCAUAUCACCAACAUAUAUUCACAAUCAAAUACGUCAACCACACAGUCCAAGUCAGUCACUUGCCCACAAGGGCAAAACAGUUAUUUAACACCCUAGGGGCAAAAUGGUAAUUUUACCCCAAAAGGGUAUCUCGAUAAUUCUACCCUAUAGGGGUAUUUCGGUAUUUCUACCCUACAAGGGUAUUUCGGUAAUUCUACCCUACAAGGGUAUUUCAGUAAUUCUACCCUACAGGGGUAUUUUGAUAAUUCUACCCUACAGGGUUAUUUCAGUAAUUCUACCCUACAGGGGUAUUUCGGUAAUUCUAUCCUACAGAGGUAUUUCGGUAAUUCUACCGUAUACGGGUAUUUCGAUAUUUUACAAAUCGAGAGUAUUUUGAUAAUUUCACAAAUCAGGGGUAUUUUGGUAAUUUUACAAGCCAGGGGUAUUUUGGUAAUUUUAUAAACCAGGGAUAUUUUAGUAAUUUUACAAACCAGGGGUAUUUUGGUAAUUUUACUGAUCGAGGGUAUUUUGGUAAUUUUGUAAACCAAGGGUAUUUUAGUAAUUUUGUAAAUUGAGGGUAAAACGGUAAUUCUGUAAAUCGAGGGUAAAACAGUAAUUUUGUAAAUCAAGGGUAAAACUAUAAUUCUAUAAAUCGAGGGUAAAAUGGUAAUUCUGUAAAUCGAGGGUAAAAUAGUAAUUUUAUAAAUCGAGGGUAAAAUGGUAAUUCUAUAAAUUGAGGGUAAAAUGGUAAUUCUAUAAAUAGAGGGUAAAACGGUAAUUCUGUAAAUUGAGGGUAAAACGAUAAUUUUACAAAUUGAGGGCAUUUCAGUAAUUUGGUAAACUAAAGUAUUUUAAACAGGGAUAACAAUACGAAUGAGCCUAAAGCCUAUUCUCGGCCCAAAUGGGCCCACAUGCUCGUGUGGCCCUUUUAGCCCAAAUCUAACCACAAAUAUGAGAUUCACCUAGCCUAGUCCAAUAUUUACUACACAAUCAAACAACUUAUCCAAUUAGGCCCAUAGGCCCAUUGGGCCCACAUGACCCCUUUCGGCCCAUCGCGGCCCGAAGUAGCCAUCCUAUAGCUAGAGUAGUGAGAAAUACACACUUGAUUGGUGACUGGAAUUAAUCCAUGCUCCGAGCACUCUUAGCCGACGCCCAACCCAAACGAGCACGCUAUAAAGCGAAAG
RNAcentral lists this long non-coding RNA (1905 nucleotides) under Gossypium barbadense (sea-island cotton). RNAcentral's name for it is "long non-coding RNA (GBAR_LNC011406)". Lineage: Eukaryota; Viridiplantae; Streptophyta; Magnoliopsida; Malvales; Malvaceae. The record is from RNAcentral.